AGAAUUUUUAUUUUGGUGCAUCCCUACUUAAAGAUGUAAUACAAGAAAGGGAUAACUUCUUUUUGGCGCAAAUUUUAAUUACUCAGUAUCCCUAUUUAAACAGUCUGCCAGGCUGUUGCGUUUAUUCCAUUUGAAGAAGCCACAUAUGGUGAAACGUAUUAUAGUUAUUUUAAACAGUGUUUUUUUUGGUCACUCAGUUGUGCCAAUCUUCUUUUUAUUAU
This is a non-coding RNA of Pelobates cultripes (western spadefoot toad), 221 nucleotides long. Lineage: Eukaryota; Metazoa; Chordata; Amphibia; Anura; Pelobatidae. The record is from the annotation of a GenBank genome assembly.